This 1459-nucleotide long non-coding RNA is filed under the name Anser cygnoides (Swan goose). Its description in RNAcentral is "lncRNA (ENSACDG00005015317.1)". Lineage: Eukaryota; Metazoa; Chordata; Aves; Anseriformes; Anatidae. The record is from RNAcentral.
AUGCGUGGUAGCCGCAGCGCCGCCGGCAUUCUCGUUAGUGCCUCUGCCUGCGGCAAAAUGGCGGCGUCCUGCUCCUGGGGAGAAGCUGUGUCGCCUCGGCUCGGGACGGGACGGGACGGGACGCGACACCACACCACACCGAGUUUGGUGGUCGGGGCCGCCCCGGGACGCUCAGCCUCCGGAUCCUUACCGAGGAGGAAGCCGGGGGAGAGAGCGAGCGAGAAACGCCUGAACCGUGACAUCGUCCCGGCGGCACCCAGAGCGGGAGCUGCGGUGAGUGUCCUGCCGCCCGGCCCCUUUCUUAACCUGUCCCCUGUCCCGCGGAACGGCGGGGAACAGGAUGGGGGGGGCGGAGGGGGGACCGCUGCUCGGGGAGGGCUGGGCGUCAGUCAGCAGGUGGUGAGCAAUAGCAUCGCGCAUCGCUUGCUUUGCAAUGUUCCCUCAUCAUCGUUGUUAUGAUUUCCCUGCCUUUUUUGUCCUAUUAAACCGUCUUUAUCCGAACCCACGAGCUUUACCUGUUUUUUCUUCCCGAGUCUCCCACGGUGGGGAGAAAAGCACCACUCAGCCAUUCGCUCUGGCCACCUGCUGGGUUCAGCCAGAACGAGAACGCAGAUGGGAAAGAGCAGAAUGCGCAUGUCCUCAUUUGGUUUUCAAAAGGAAACGGACUAACAAGUUACUCUAGCGAACAGUUUGGGGUUGAUUGGGCAAGUUCUCCUGACUUCGGGAACUUGUCAGGACUACCGGUCUUCUCUUUCUAAUGUUAUUUUUCAUAAUACUCACCGCAAACCCUUGCCGAAUUCGAAAAAGUUACAGGGAGGUCGCCUGUGCUGUCUUUGCGUCUCUCUGGAAAGGGGGAUGCGUUGCACAGAGGCGUGACUCUUUUUCUCUAAUCUCUCGUCAAAAACUUCUGGGUAAACAGAUCCUUCAGCUCGUUGGAUACGGACGACCUGCAGGGUUGUUUGCCGUUCCCACGACAGGGAUAGCUGCAGAGCGGGUACCGAGCGGGAAGGAGAUUCGAGCGACAGCUAAUGUCACCAUCGAGAGCACCGUGGCAUGGGAGCAGCCGGGGACAGGACACGGAAGGAGAACUUGAUAAGGAGCUGCUCUGGAAGGUGGAGGCAGGCAGCGACCCAAGAGGAGCAAAAUCAGCAGGGGAAGGUGGGAUCGGGGUGGGGGGAUGUUAAGAAUGUUAAGAGAGGAGGAGCAGCCGAGAGGAGCAACUUUUCCCUUUCCUGCGGAGGGAGAUGAUGAUGGAAAACCUGCCCUGAAGAAACGCUUGCCGCUUGCCAUUCAGGCUGUAAAGCCGCACAUGCGUCUUCCUGAGACCGGCUGCACGCGUGUGGCAUCUCAGGCCGUGAGCUGCUCAGGCAGGGAUUUCUCCGUGCAGGGCGUAGAGUCCCUGGGAAAGCCAUCAUCUGGUGGAAGAAAGCCCAGGGGACUUCUCAGAGGUAAGAAGCCU